Marasmius tenuissimus is the source of this 92-nucleotide non-coding RNA. The record is from the annotation of a GenBank genome assembly. NCBI's taxonomy places the organism in Eukaryota, Fungi, Basidiomycota, Agaricomycetes, Agaricales, Marasmiaceae.
AACUGUAUAGCUCAAUGGUAGAGCAUGUGGAUAUGAUAUGGGCAACGUAACCAUCGUGACCACAGGUCCCAGUUUGAUUCUCGGUGCAGUCA